This 489-nucleotide ribosomal RNA is filed under the name uncultured Eubacteriales bacterium. RNAcentral describes it as "bacterial SSU rRNA". It matches the Rfam family "Bacterial small subunit ribosomal RNA", at positions 28 to 516 of the family's 1533-position model. Lineage: Bacteria; Bacillati; Bacillota; Clostridia; Eubacteriales. The record is from RNAcentral.
GACGAACGCUGGCGGCGUGCUUAACACAUGCAAGUCGAACGAUGAAAGAGAAUCCGAUCUCUUCGGAGUGAAGAAUCUCUGGAUUAGUGGCGGACGGGUGAGUAACGCGUGAGCAAUCUGCCCUACACAAAGGGAUAGCCUCGGGAAACCGGGAUUAAUACCAUAUGAUAUCUAUUCACCGCAUGGUAGAUAGAUUAAAGAAUUUCGGUGUAAGAUGAGCUCGCGUCCCAUUAAUUAGUUGGUGAGGGUAACGGCCCACCAAGAUAGCGAUGGGUAGCCGAUCUAAGAGGAUGACCGGCCACAUUGGAACUGAGAAACGGUCCAAACUCCUACGGGAGGCAGCAGUGGGGAAUAUUGCACAAUGGGGGAAACCCUGAUGCAGCGACGCCGCGUGAGCGAUGAAGGCUUUCGAGUCGUAAAGCUCUGUCCUAUGGGAAGAUAAUGACGGUACCAUAGAAGAAAGCCCCGGCUAAUUACGUGCCAGCCGCC